GGGAAUGUAGCUUAGUUGGUAGAGCGCUUGCCUAGCAUGCAAGAAGCCUUGGGUUCGAUUCCUCAGUACCA
Molecule: transfer RNA, 71 nt
Filed under: Dipodomys ordii (Ord's kangaroo rat)
Lineage: Eukaryota; Metazoa; Chordata; Mammalia; Rodentia; Heteromyidae
Rfam family: tRNA
About the family: Transfer RNA (tRNA) molecules are approximately 80 nucleotides in length. Their secondary structure includes four short double-helical elements and three loops (D, anti-codon, and T loops). Further hydrogen bonds mediate the characteristic L-shaped molecular structure. tRNAs have two regions of fundamental functional importance: the anti-codon, which is responsible for specific mRNA codon recognition, and the 3' end, to which the tRNAs corresponding amino acid is attached (by aminoacyl-tRNA synthetases). tRNAs cope with the degeneracy of the genetic code in two manners: having more than one tRNA (with a specific anti-codon) for a particular amino acid; and 'wobble' base-pairing, i.e. permitting non-standard base-pairing at the 3rd anti-codon position.
Source: Rfam by way of RNAcentral